Molecule: ribosomal RNA, 861 nt
Filed under: Triticum aestivum (bread wheat)
Lineage: Eukaryota; Viridiplantae; Streptophyta; Magnoliopsida; Poales; Poaceae
Description: partial small subunit ribosomal RNA
Source: RNAcentral
AUGGCCAUGGACGACGCGGGACGCCGGGACUUGCCCACGGACGUCCUGGUGGACAUCCUGCUGCGGCUGCCCCCGAGCACCCGCCGCCGGGUCCGCCUCGUCUGCAGGCUCUGGCGCGACGUCGUUGACGAGCGCACCUCGGAGAUGCAGAGCCGCGCCACGGCCCUCCUCUGGGAUUCCUGGGACGCGGUCGCCUACGUCCUCGACGACCUGUCCAAGUCGUCGACAGGGAACUGCAGAGAGCUGUGGAGGCAUAGCACCUACGGAGAACUUGUGGGCACCUGCAACGGCCUACUCUGCCUGUCCGACAUGAUGACACCCGGCGGCACCGUCACCUUGGUCAACCCGGCCACCGACGAGACGCUGUCAGUCCCACAGCUGCCGUGUCCAGGCCAGUUCAGGAUUAACUGGUACAAGGCGUAUAGCUUCGCGUACCACCCUACGUCCGGACAGUACAAGGUGGUGCACGUCCCCUGCAGCAUUGACCGGAUGCCCAUGUUCGGCACCGUACAUGUGCUUACACUAGGGGAGGCGUCGUGGCGAGAGGUUACUACCGGCCCCGAGCAAGACGGGUGGUGCGAGUGCGACCUCAGCGCCGGCAUCGUCAGCGUCGAUGGCACUACAUAUUGGGUCAUGGGGCCACACUUUGUGUAUGGCGAGUACGUCUUGACGGAGGAGAAAGGAUGGAUAUGCAGGCACUAUAGGCGGAAAGGUAUGUGGUCAUCCAACAAGGCGGUGCCGGUGCUGGUCAGCCACAGGGCUCAGGGGAUGCUGCUCGCGAAGACACCAAGCAGCUGGUGCCGGACAUUUCCUUAUGUCGAGACAAUGGAGCCACUUAGCAUUUAUGUUGCUAAUUGUUAA